GUACUCACCCAAUCUGCUUAUUUCAACAAGGAACCUAUGAAUUGUCCCAUCUAUUGGUCAGGAGAGGCAAGAGGCCAUUAGGAGGUUUUGAGGUUCUGUGAAUUACUUGGCAAAGCAGAGCCUUGUCCGCUCUAGUAGAAGACUUGUUUACAAAGCACAUCCAUCCUCCAAAGUCUGAGCUAACCAGUCAGGAGUUCAGAAGAACUCAAUUUCCUGGGCUGACGUUUUUGGACUGUAAUCACUCCAGGUGUUGGGACUGCUUAGAGGAAAUAAAAAGGAAGAACUCA
Molecule: long non-coding RNA, 287 nt
Organism: Ornithorhynchus anatinus (platypus)
Lineage: Eukaryota; Metazoa; Chordata; Mammalia; Monotremata; Ornithorhynchidae
Exons: 2
Source: RefSeq, a predicted model, not a curated record